GGUCUCCCAGCCAUGCUUCCUGUACAGCUUGUGGAACUGGUACCUAUGAUGGCAGGCCUGCAUGAGAUGCUGGAAGACGUGUAAAACUCAGUGAAAUUUUCUUUGUCCUCAGAGAGAUGAUGGCUCCAUUAAAGUGUCCAGAGAGAACUCAUCUCAAACCAAGGGCAUAGGAGCAGCCACACUUAAGAUCAACUGUCCUUAAUGACAGCAUCAUGAUACACUGGAUUACCCAGUUGCUUGUAAGGAAAGACAGAGAUGAAGUUAUCCUGACUGCUGAGAUGAGCAGUUUACCCCAGGAGGACCUGUGGGACUAUGUUUUGGUAAAGAAAAGUUGAGCUCUCUGUGGGAGUGAGGUUCCAAUGAGGCCAAAUGUACAAGGUGUGUGUUCUAUGGCCUAAAGAGCUGUAGAUGGUGUCACAAUGGCAUGAGAAAGUUUCAAAGAUACAUGUUAUUUGGGGGAGCCUGGGGGAUGGGAUGACUGCUAAAGGGUGUGGGGUUUGUUUCUGGCAUGAUAAAAGUGUGGUAAAUUUGGUUGUGGUGAUAGUUACACAGCUCUGUGGAUAAAAAACAUUGAACUAUACAUUUUAAAUGGGGGGACUGUAUGAUAUGCAAAUUAUAUCUUAAUAAAGAAGUUA
Nomascus leucogenys (northern white-cheeked gibbon) is the source of this 635-nucleotide long non-coding RNA. RefSeq lists it as uncharacterized. The transcript is spliced from 4 exons. The record is from RefSeq and is a predicted model, not a curated record. Lineage: Eukaryota; Metazoa; Chordata; Mammalia; Primates; Hylobatidae.